UACGGGGGGGGCAAGCGUUGUUCGGAAUUACUGGGCGUAAAGGGCUCGUAGGCGGCCAACUAAGUCAGACGUGAAAUCCCUCGGCUUAACCGGGGAACUGCGUCUGAUACUGGAUGGCUGGAGAUUGGGAGAGGGAUGCGGAAUUCCAGGUGUAGCGGUGAAAUGCGUAGAUAUCUGGAGGAACACCGGUGGCGAAGGCGGCAUCCUGGACCAACACUGACGCUGAGGAGCGAAAGCCAGGGGAGCGAACAGG
Molecule: ribosomal RNA, 253 nt
Filed under: uncultured bacterium
Lineage: Bacteria
Description: partial 16S ribosomal RNA
Rfam family: Bacterial small subunit ribosomal RNA
Source: RNAcentral